This is a long non-coding RNA of Aethina tumida (small hive beetle), 486 nucleotides long. RefSeq lists it as uncharacterized. The record is from RefSeq and is a predicted model, not a curated record. NCBI's taxonomy places the organism in Eukaryota, Metazoa, Arthropoda, Insecta, Coleoptera, Nitidulidae. The transcript has 3 exons.
ACUAUGCCAAAUGUUUGUCGUGGUAUCCAGUCUUUGGAACCCUUUUCUUACCAUCCUCAGUUUGUAUUUCCUCUCACACUGUAACACCUUCUUUAAAAAUUGCAGUGAUGGCAAGAUCCACAGCUUUUGGGAUGUGGAAUUGGAAGUGGUCUUCUUCAGUGAUGAGUCUAAAUUUUGUCUGUCGAAGAGUUUUUGUGCCACACACAUCUAAAUCAGUUUGAUGGAGGGCAAAUUAUUGACUUAAAAGAGACAGGAUUUUCCUUUGUAGAAGUUCCCAAUCGGAUGAACCGGAGUCGAAGCACAGUUUGGAGUUGUUGGAGCUAGAUCUGAAGAAGGUUAGACCUUAGAAUUUUGGUUCUACAAGGUCACUUUGUAGCUAUUCGUGAAAUUGCCAACCAGCCAUCUACAGAAGAAUGAUGGCAAGAUCCACAGCUUUUGGGAUGUGGAAUUGGAAGUGGUCUUCUUCAGUGAUGAGUCUAAAUUUUG